UACGUAGGGUGCAAGCGUUGCUCGGAAUCACUGGGCGUAAAGCGCACGUAGGCGGAUUGUUAAGUCAGGGGUGAAAUCCUGGAGCUCAACUCCAGAACUGCCUUUGAUACUGGCGAUCUCGAGUCCGGGAGAGGUGAGUGGAACUGCGAGUGUAGAGGUGAAAUUCGUAGAUAUUCGCAAGAACACCAGUGGCGAAGGCGGCUCACUGGCCCGGUACUGACGCUGAGGUGCGAAAGCGUGGGGAGCAAACAGG
This 253-nucleotide ribosomal RNA is filed under the name uncultured bacterium. RNAcentral describes it as "partial 16S ribosomal RNA". It matches the Rfam family "Bacterial small subunit ribosomal RNA", at positions 524 to 776 of the family's 1533-position model. The record is from RNAcentral.